GAAAAUUUCAGACUCAAUAAAGCACAGGUAGGUGCUUUUUGAGCUAAGGAAGAGGAAGCAAGCAGGAAAAUGUACCUUCUGUGACUGUGAACAAAUUAGCAGUUCUUCUCUGUCAGAAUUUCCACAGGAGCAAGAGAAAUGCAGAAUGAGCAGUAAAACUGCAAAAAGAAAAGGAAGAACUAGGUUGACUGGAGAGGAAUGGAGAAGCAGCAUCCAUCCUUCAACCCUGCUGUGCAAACACAUCUGAGACAACACAAAACUUGAAAAGGGGAAAAUGAAAACUGAGCAAUGGCCAAGUAACUACAGUGUUAUUGAACUGUAAGAUAUUUUUAUUAACACCUUUUCCAGCUCUCUUAGAGUCCUUCCAGACAGACCCAAAAUGUGAACCCAAAAUCCAAAUGACACCUCAGGUAAACCCAAAUUAAUCUGGAGUAAACUGGGAUUUCCCAGUUUUCUCUGGUUUAAUAAAACACCUACCGGUAGAGAGAUCCGAGCAUGUAGCCGGGCUGCUUACGUAAGUUUUUGAGGUGAAAGGGGGGCUGGGAACUGGCUCUGAACCCUCCCACAUCAAACUCUGGUUGGGAGAAUCUGGGGUUUGGUGUGGGGAUUCAAUCCUGGGAGGAUCUGAGAUAAAAUAUUGUUAAUGUGGGAUUUGUGUAUAGAUAGUGUUUAAAUGAAAUUUGUGUCUAGCAUGUAUUGCAUCAUCCAGGAAAUGCUAUAGUGUGUAAAGAGUUAAUUUGGUAAGAAGCUGUAUUGACCUUGGAUAUGUGGCUGGAGCCAGAUAAGAGUGUCCAGACUACAAGUGUGUUUGUAUAUAGCUGAUUGCAUCAGAUGAGAUCUGUUCUGCCUGCUGAGAAGAUCUGUGCUGUUUGUCUAGAUUGAAAGUCUUAUGUCCAUUGUCUGCAAUUCUGUUUGUCUUGUCAAGUAAACUUUGUAAAUACUUUUUAACAUCGUCUCUGACGUUCCUUCGUUCUGCGCUCCACUGACGUCAUUCGUCUGCUGCUACGCUGUGCGCAUUACUCUGACAAAUAUCCCAGUUCCUCCCGAGAUUGAGACCUGUCUGGAAUAGCUCCUACUCUACACUUUAAUAUAUUUCUUUUGUCAGCCUAACAUAUAUUUGCUCUUAUGUUUUGUAUGCUAUGUUUUCUCGGGAUUUUA
This 1158-nucleotide long non-coding RNA is filed under the name Anolis carolinensis (green anole). RNAcentral describes it as "lncRNA (ENSACAG00000041350.1)". The record is from RNAcentral. Lineage: Eukaryota; Metazoa; Chordata; Lepidosauria; Squamata; Anolidae.